Dalotia coriaria is the source of this 301-nucleotide long non-coding RNA. RefSeq lists it as uncharacterized. The transcript is spliced from 3 exons. The record is from RefSeq and is a predicted model, not a curated record. Lineage: Eukaryota; Metazoa; Arthropoda; Insecta; Coleoptera; Staphylinidae.
AGCACAGUUUACUGCAGAAUACAUCAUCUCACAACAAAUAUGAACCAGUAACUAAACUGAAGUGGUGGUCACUCAACUCAUCUAUACUUCUCAACAAAAAUAACCACCAAUCAUGGAACAAUAAAUCAUUCCAAUCUAAUAUGUAAAGGAAGACACAACAGCAAUGGUUUUCGUUACUUUGAACACAUCUUCAUUCCAUCAAGCAGAGGACAAAUCCAAUCCAAACGGACCUGAUCAACCCAAAUCUAUGAUGAGAGGUCAGGGCACUCCGACAAGAUGGUCUUGCGUCCAGAGAGGGGUC